AUUGAACGCUGGCGGAAUGCUUUACACAUGCAAGUCGAACGGUAGAGGGGGGCAACCCCCUUGAGAGUGGCGAACGGGUGAGUAAUAUAUCGGAACGUGCCCAGUCGUGGGGGAUAACGUAGCGAAAGUUACGCUAAUACCGCAUACGAUCUAAGGAUGAAAGCGGGGGAUCGCAAGACCUCGCGCGAUUGGAGCGGCCGAUAUCAGAUUAGGUAGUUGGUGAGGUAAAGGCUCACCAAGCCAACGAUCUGUAGCUGGUCUGAGAGGACGACCAGCCACACUGGAACUGAGACACGGUCCAGACUCCUACGGGAGGCAGCAGUGGGGAAUUUUGGACAAUGGACGCAAGUCUGAUCCAGCCAUUCCGCGUGCAGGAUGAAGGCCCUCGGGUUGUAAACUGCUUUUGUACGGAACGAAAGGUUUGUCUUAAUACGAUGAGCUCAUGACGGUACCGUAAGAAUAAGCACCGGCUAACUACGUAG
RNAcentral lists this ribosomal RNA (482 nucleotides) under uncultured bacterium. RNAcentral's name for it is "bacterial SSU rRNA". It matches the Rfam family "Bacterial small subunit ribosomal RNA", at positions 30 to 508 of the family's 1533-position model. The record is from RNAcentral.